GAUGAACGCUAGCGGCAGGCCUAAUACAUGCAAGUCGAACGAGAUUACGAGGCUUGCUUCUUAUGAAAGUGGCGCACGGGUGCGUAACGCGUAUGCAACCUACCUUAAUCAGGGGGAUAGCCCGAAGAAAUUCGGAUUAAGACCGCAUAAAAACACAGGAUAGCAUUAUCCAAUGUUCAAAUAUUUAUAUGAUUAAGAUGGUCAUGCGUGUCAUUAGCUAGUUGGCGGGGUAACGGCCCACCAAGGCGACGAUGACUAGCGGACCUGAGAGGGUGACCGGCCACACGGGAACUAGGACAAGGGACCGACGCCGACGGGAGGAAACAGCAUGGACUCUACCGCAAGAGGCGAAAGCCUGACGGAAAAACGCCGUGUAAGGUAUAAAGGCCGUCGGAUCGGAAAACUAUGUUAGUAGGGAAGAACAAAGGUGUAAGUAACUGUGAGCAGCUGGACGGUACCGAAUCAGAAAGCCACGGCUAACUACGUG
Molecule: ribosomal RNA, 487 nt
Filed under: uncultured bacterium
Lineage: Bacteria
Description: partial 16S ribosomal RNA
Rfam family: Bacterial small subunit ribosomal RNA
Source: RNAcentral